Molecule: ribosomal RNA, 254 nt
Filed under: uncultured bacterium
Lineage: Bacteria
Description: partial 16S ribosomal RNA
Rfam family: Bacterial small subunit ribosomal RNA
Source: RNAcentral
UACGGGGGGAGCAAGCGUUGUUCGGAUUUACUGGGCGUAAAGGGCGCGUAGGCGGUCAGCACAAGUCAGUUGUGAAAUCUCCGGGCUUAACUCGGAAAGGUCAACUGAUACUGUGCGACUAGAGUGCGGAAGGGGCAACUGGAAUUCUCGGUGUAGCGGUGAAAUGCGUAGAUAUCGAGAGGAACACCUGCGGCGAAGGCGGGUUGCUGGGCCGACACUGACGCUCAUGCACGAAAGCGUGGGGAGCAAACGGG